AUUUUAUAUUAAGCGCCAGAACUUAAGAAUGUGCAAGCGUAAUCGAUUAGAUAUUUUCCAGAAAUUUAAUAAAUAAAAUUUCUGGAAAAUAUCUUACUUAAGUUGACGAGGACAAGGAGUAUCGAAAAUUCGGCGGAUACCUUGCGGUAUGGCACUACCGAAAAUAUUGACAAAACCAAGAAGUAAUUUUUGGGACAAUAUCAAUAAGGUGCCUGA
RNAcentral lists this non-coding RNA (216 nucleotides) under Clostridium pasteurianum. Its description in RNAcentral is "GlcN6P sequence". It matches the Rfam family "glmS glucosamine-6-phosphate activated ribozyme aptamer". Rfam says of the family: This entry contains a glucosamine-6-phosphate activated ribozyme that is found in the mRNA for GlmS. GlmS is an enzyme that uses fructose-6-phosphate and glutamine to generate glucosamine-6-phosphate. The ribozyme catalyses self cleavage of the glmS mRNA that is thought to regulate GlmS activity. Lineage: Bacteria; Bacillati; Bacillota; Clostridia; Eubacteriales; Clostridiaceae. The record is from RNAcentral. RNAcentral also lists the same sequence under 1 other name.